This 315-nucleotide long non-coding RNA is filed under the name Brassica napus (rape). Its description in RNAcentral is "long non-coding RNA (BNAP_LNC006537)". The record is from RNAcentral. Lineage: Eukaryota; Viridiplantae; Streptophyta; Magnoliopsida; Brassicales; Brassicaceae.
UAAUCUAUAAUCUAAUACAAUGGGUCAUGCGAAGGAACCUACAAUCCGGUUUUAUUAUCCUUUUUUUUCAACUUUUAGUGUCACCUAUUGGUAUAUGGUUUAAGUGGGCCUAUUGAAAGAACAAUCUGAAGGCUACUUUUAUUGUAUUUAUAAUUGAUCUAUAAUUUUCUUAUACUAAUUUAUCCUCUCUUUUUUUGUCGACUUUCGGACCACAACGGACCGGCCCGAUAGCCCAAAUCCCCACAGAAGGGAAAGCCUCACUUUAGGAGGGGUUGAACCCCUGAUGCCAAGGUCCAGAGGAACUGUCAAUGGCCA